Molecule: ribosomal RNA, 200 nt
Filed under: uncultured organism
Description: partial small subunit ribosomal RNA
Rfam family: Bacterial small subunit ribosomal RNA
Source: RNAcentral
CGUCAAGUCAGCAUGGCCUUUAUGUCUGGGGCUACACACGUGCUACAAUGGCCGGUACAAACCGUCGCGAUCUCGCAAGAGGGAGCUAAUCGGAGAAAGCCGGUCUCAGUUCGGAUUGUCGGCUGCAACUCGCCGGCAUGAAGUUGGAAUCGCUAGUAAUCGCGGAUCAGCACGCCGCGGUGAAUACGUUCCCGGGCCUU